ACCACACCCAAAUGCUGCAACAGAUGAUAUCACUUUCCAGGGUAAACACAAGCAGUGUAUUCUGAGGCCACUGGCCCGACUUCCCAGGUUGACUCAUCCUGCCUUCCAGCCUUGAAGGGCAAUAUCCUUACCAACAUGUGAUCUGAAGGAGCUCUGAACCCUCCAGUGAGACAUCAGCCCAUCAGACUCACAGAGAACAGCAGGAAGGCCAAAGACUCAAGAUUUAUCUAUCCUUGAGGCCUCCGUUAUACGAAGGGAAAACAUCCCAGACCCCCCAGUGAAUGCCUGAAACUGGAUUCUACUGAACCCUGAGAUGGUACUAAGUGACUAACGGGUGAAUAGCGUGUACAGCAUGGAUACACUAGACAAAGGGAGGAUUCGCAUCCCGGGCUGGUCAGCAAGAGGUUUCAUCACCCCACUCAAAAUGGCAGGACCGUAUGAACCUGAAUCCAGAGAAACGGCUCAUCAGUCUCCAAUCCUCUGAUUUUCUAAACCAGGACUACAUUAUAUUAAAACCAGAAAAAGCAAUACCUCUUUUCACAGAAUGGACUUUCUGGUGGAAAUGGGAGGAACCAAAAGAAGGCUGACUUCUUCAUUUUGACACCCUGCCCUGACUGCAGAACGUGAUUUCCCUAAAAGACUGAAUGUUAACCUCAAAGCCUGGUCAACCAACAUGCAGGAGAAAUCUUGACCAAGGCUCUGAGCAUGCUGUGGUCCCAGUGGUGAGGGUGUGAUAUGCACUGUCUGUUCCUGGAGUCACAGUGCUCAUCUUGUGGUAAAGACCUCUUGGAAGAAUGUCUUCAAAGGCACAUCUCCAGCUGGGAGUCCUUGUUUCCUGAUUUUUUUUUUUAAGUUUAUGUUAUAUGAACAAAUGAGACUGCUUUCCCGGCAGGAGUAGCCCUCAGACGCCCACUGUGAGCCUACUUUCUGGAAGAAGCCAACUCAGACAGACCACAGUGUGUGCACAGCAUACGUGGCUGCUGGCUGUGGAUGAGAAAGUAUUCCUGAUCUGUCAGAAUAAUGAUUUCAGCGUGUUCUCAGCAGGUCCUCAGUGUGAUCCCAUGAGGAUACCCUCAACCCCUUGCAUGACAUGUUGUACUUGGAGUCCUUCCCCAUUUCAAUUUCAGCAUCAGUGGGAGGGAAAUAGCAAAACAGCAUUCCUUCAUGUAGAUAACCAGUAGGCAGCAGGCUACUCCUGGUUCGUAACAUAACUCCACCAGUGUAUUCUGGCAGCCGGGCUUACUUAAGGGAGAGCACAGACAUUCCCUGCUCAAAAACAAAACUGCUAAACGUGACUCCGGUAGCCUCCAUGCUCUCUGCAAGAAUAAAAUCCUUGAAGAAAAAUUGUGAUAAGAAGUCUGUCUUUGGAGUCAGCCUGAGCACAAUCUUGCAUCUCCAGUUACCACCUGGGUGGCUUUAUUCACUUAAGAAAUACCUGUAGGAUACAUACUACAUGGCAGGCAUGCUUCUCAGAUGUUAGCUCAUCUUGCUAAGCCUCCAGUAUCUUCAUCUAAACAGUGAGGAUAACAGUAUGUACCUCCUAGGGCCAUCUGAGGAAAAAGUGAGAUAGUGUGUAUAAAGCUCAUAGCACAGGGCUCAUAGAGAGGAUUUGCAGUUAGUGUUGGCUGUGGCAGGUAUUAUUCCCUUUACCCCA
Molecule: long non-coding RNA, 1654 nt
Filed under: Homo sapiens (human)
Lineage: Eukaryota; Metazoa; Chordata; Mammalia; Primates; Hominidae
Description: HSALNT0218767
Source: RNAcentral